CCAAUGAACAAUUGUGGAUUGAAAAUUCAUCUUCACAAGUUAUUAAUUAAUCAGCGUGAAAAAACUAAAAUUAUUAGAAUAUAGUUACUUGUUAAUCUUUUUCAUUUAUGACUCUUUUUAUGUAAUGUGGAAAUGCGUUUAAGUUUACCUACAUGUUUUUGUGGGACGGUAGCUUAAUUAGAUGAAAACCAAACCAAAAAUACAAAAAAUGCUAGAUGUGUAUAAUUAUCGAUCAUAUAUCUCUAGAAAAUUAGACAAAUGGCCCAGCUAAUUCACAUCUUACACAUGUAAAUGAACAUAUGGAAACCUUUACUACCCACUAGUACUACUCAUGGUUUUCCAAACACUACAAGAAAACAUCGGGAUACUGAGGGAAAAAAUCGUCGGUAUGUCGUCGGAAUAACGUUAUUCCGAGGACAUACCGACGAAAAAAGUCCUCGGAAAUAACUCCUCGGAAAUUCAUAAUUCCUCGGAAUUCCGUCGGAAUUUUCCGACGGAAUUCCGAGGAAACAAAAUUCCGAGGAAACUCCGAGGACACAAUGUUCGUCGGAAGGUUCCUCGGAAAAUACCGAAGGAAUUCCGAUGGUCCAAUCCUCGGAAGUUUCGACGAAAUAUUUCUCGGAAUAUUUAUCGGAAAAUUCCGAGGGAAGAAAGUUCCUCGGAAAAUUCCGAGGAACAUUUGUUCCUCGGAAAAUUCCGAGGAACAUUUGUUCCUCGGACAUUUCCGAGGAACUUUCUUCCCUCGGAAUUUUCCGAGGGAAUUGAGUUUCUCGGAAAAUUCCGAGGAAUCCUUUCCCUCAGACAAUUCCGAGGAACUUAAUGUUCGUCGGAAUUUACCGAGGGAUAAAAGUUCCUCGGAAUUAUCCGAGGACCUCCAUUCCCUCGGAAUUUUGAAAAAAAUUAUUUUUUUAAAAAAUUUUUUUUUUUUAAAAAUUAUUUUUUUUUGGAAAAAAAUUAAAAUUUUUAAAAUUUAAAAUUAAAAUUGAAUAAAACAUAAAAUAAAACAUAGUAGAUAAUAUUCAAAUUUAAAUAAAACAUUCAGAGUUUUUGGAAAAAAAAAAACUACGGGUCUUGAAUGUUCGGGAACGUCUCGUUCGGGUACAUCCUCUUCAUCAUGUCCAUCAUCUGCUCGUUCAGCCUCUUCUGGGUCUCAUAGCCCGCCUGUUGAGCUGCCAUCUGAGCCUCCAACGCAGAUAUCCGAUCAUCCUUGUCCUUCAGCUGAGCCGUAAGAACUUCUGGAUCAACAUACGCAUGUGGUGCAGAAGAAGGAGCAGCCGACCGGGAGCGACGACCCAAACCGACCAAACGUCCCUUUUUCUUUGGAACCGACUGAAAUAUAAAUAAAACGAAGUUAAGAUAAUUUAAAUUGAUGAUAAAAUAAAAAUCAAGAAAUAAUUAAAUUGAACUUUUAAAAAAAAAAACUUACCGAUUCAACGAUUUCGUUGAUUCGAACCCGAGACAAGUUGGUCGAGGCCGUCGAAUCGUCAUCAUCGGUUUGAAGCUGAGACACUUCGUCAUACACCUGAGUCUGGACCAGGUCGACCACGUCCCUCACAAGACCAUCAUCAAUCUGGCCGGUCUUCUUGUUGGUAUACGCCCUUUUCAUAAGGGCGAGAUCAUCAACUGGGUGGCCUUCAUUUUCUUCCGCCUUGAAAAAAAAUAAAUUAGACAAACAUUAGAGAUUUGAAAAUGCAAAAAAAAUAAAAUUCUGAAACUUAAAUAAUUGAAGAAAAAGCGGUUGAGCUUACCAUGCGAUCCGCCAGAGUGGCAAUAGAUUGAGCACCCAAGUUAUGCUUGUAGAUGCCCUUUCCUUUACGGUCGCUCCUGCGGUUGUUGGAGUUGGUGGAAGAAGUUUCUUUCGUCUCUUCUUUAUCCCAAUGCGCACACAACUCCUUCCAGACCGUGCCGUUCAUCGACUUUGGGACCUUUUAAUUUAAAAAAAAAAAGUUUAAUAAUUUUAAAAAUAGUUUAAUAAAUUAAAAAUUGUUAAUAAAUUAAAAACUACCUUGUUUACUUCCCAUUUCUUCUUCCACUCGUACAUCUGCUUCCCAUAGUUGUCCAUAACUUUAUGGACAAAAUGGUGAUAGAUAGAGAGCGUAUCAUCGGCAUUCCAGUUGAAUUCUUGCUGAAAAAAAAAGAUAGAUAAAGAGCGUCUCAUCGGCAUUCCAGUUGAAUUCUUGCUGAAAUAGUUUAAAAAUAGUUUUUAAGCACAAAAAUAUAAAAAAGUUUUAAUAAUAUUUAAAAUGUCUAAUAAAUAUAGAAAAUAGUUUAAUAAUUACAAAAAAUAGUUUUAAUAAUAUAAAAAAUAUAAUUUAAAAAUUAGAAUACUUACCGCAAACUGCUGAAACCACAGAUGCUGCUUCUCGACAGGGAAGUGAGUGAAAGUCGGAUGUCCGCUGUCGAGGGCCGAGUACAUCAUACGGUUGAUCCAUGCGCUGAUCCCGUUCCCGGAUCGGUUGAACCUAACAAAAAAAAUAAAUUAUUAAUAAAAAAAUAGUUUAAAAAUUAAAAAUAGUUUAAAAAAUAAAAGUUUAAAUUACCAUGUUUGACCAUGUCCAUGUGGAUACUCAGUGAGAUAGGGAAGAUGGUACAAAACAUUGUAGCAUGGACCACAAUAACUACAAUUACUAUACCUAACAAACCAUUAUCUCUCUCCCUCUUUGUUUUUCUAUCAUCUUCCAUGUAAUAAAAGCAUUCCAUAAAUCACUAACCACUAAACAAACUAAAAUCGAAAAAAAAACAAAAAAAAAACAGUGGGCGAUAUGCAUUAC
This 2771-nucleotide long non-coding RNA is filed under the name Brassica napus (rape). RNAcentral describes it as "long non-coding RNA (BNAP_LNC022169)". The record is from RNAcentral. Lineage: Eukaryota; Viridiplantae; Streptophyta; Magnoliopsida; Brassicales; Brassicaceae.